Molecule: ribosomal RNA, 485 nt
Filed under: uncultured bacterium
Lineage: Bacteria
Description: bacterial SSU rRNA
Rfam family: Bacterial small subunit ribosomal RNA
Source: RNAcentral
AAUCAACGCUGGCGGCGUGCCUAACACAUGCAAGUCGAACGAGAAAGUGGAGCAAUCCAUGAGUAAAGUGGCGACCGGGUGAGUAACACGUGACUAACCUACCUUCAAGUGGGGGAUAACCUCGGGAAACCGGGGCUAAUACCGCAUAAAAUCUUUGGGAUGAGAAGCCGAAGAUCAAAGGAGCAAUUCGCUGGAAGAGGGGGUCGCGGCUGAUUAGCUAGUUGGUGGGGUAAUGGCCCACCAAGGCUUUGAUCGGUAGCCGGCCUGAGAGGGCGCACGGCCACACUGGAACUGAAACACGGUCCAGACUCCUACGGGAGGCAGCAGUGGGGAAUUUUGCGCAAUGGGGGAAACCCUGACGCAGCAACGCCGCGUGGAGGAUGAAGUCCCUUGGGACGUAAACUCCUGUCGAGGGGGAGGAAGCCGCGAGGUUGACCGAUCCCUGGAGGAGCACGGGCUAAGUUCGUGCCAGCAGCCGCCGUAAU